This 11322-nucleotide long non-coding RNA is filed under the name Equus caballus (horse). RNAcentral's name for it is "lncRNA (ENSECAG00000031428.2)". Lineage: Eukaryota; Metazoa; Chordata; Mammalia; Perissodactyla; Equidae. The record is from RNAcentral.
CUUGCUUUUCUCACUUUCUUCAAAAGGCAACAUGAGGCUACUUGUUCAUUGCUUGGCUAAGCAGUCUUAAAAUGGUGGAGCCAGAAGAGAGGUUAGAGAAGGUAUGGUUCAAGUCCUUCUUUUACAGAUGGAGAAACAGGCCAGGCGAGGUGAAGGGGUGCCAAGAGACCCUGCAGUCACUUGAUCUGUGACAGAACCAAGCAUAGUGACUCAGAUAUUCCAACCCAGGUACACUUCGGUUAUUUGCUCAGCCGGGACCUGAUGGACUCAUUGAACCAAGUCUACCGGAAAAUUCCAACAGUGGACAACAGAACCCCUGCCUUUGGGGAGGAGAGGCUAGGUGGGUCCGUGGAGCAAGGACACUUAAAAGCCACAAGAGUCCACCAACCGAUGAAUAAAUAAACAUGCUCUCUGGCCAUACAAUGGGAUAUUAUUCAGUCGUGGAAGGGACUGAAGCACUGAUCCGUGCUGCAGCGUGGAUGAGCCAGGACACCUUUAUGAAAAAGCCACAGGGAUCUUUGCACUGGUGGACAGCGAGGAAGAAAGCAAAUGAGGAGGAAAUGAUGUUGUCAAGAGCCACAUCCUGCUCCCCCUGCUCCUGACCAAGUCCGCUUUCCGGGGGAGGGGGGGAUGCCCUGUGGGUGAGUUCUGCCCAGAAGGAGCCUCUCCCAGCGUCCGGGCUCCUGUGACGGCUCUGCCAUAGGAGGGAAUGGGGACACUCCAUGCUGCUCUGCAACGCCAGCUCCGUGUUUGCGGGAAGGGCAAAGGAUGCAGCCAUCCGCUGUCCUCUGCCCUCCGCUUGCCCGCUCUGCAGAGCACAUAGCCCUGCUAGCGCCCAGGCUUCCUUCGGGAGAAUUCCGGGCGCGGCCCUGCAGAGCCGCGGGGGAGCGACAGCAGCGAACGGGAGUGGAGGGGAGCGACCCACCCCUGCGCCACCUGCCCUCAGCAGGGUGGGCACAAACAAGGAGGGAGAAAGCGGAGCGUGGUCAGCACUUGUGCAAACCAAGCCUUUUCUGGGGGCGGGAGGGGGAUUCUGAUCAAGGUUUGCAGAGAUGAGGCCGCAGCAGCAGAGCAGCAGCAAUGUGGGCUGGUUUUAAGAAGCACUAAAUCUCUGUGUCAGCUGGAAGCCCGCUCCUCUGCCGCGGGCUGGACGGCCCCGCGUGGGCGGCGCGGCUCCUGGCGGCGGCCCCAGCGUGGGCGGUGUUCUCCCAACAGAGUUCAGGGCCCUGCCGGGUCACCCACCCGGACUCUGUCCCUCCUCCCCCGGACGGCUGCGCCCCGUGCCUGGGAGGACACACGCCGCGCACACAGACACCACACAUCCCACACCACACAGUACAACACACACCACACAUACCACAUCACCCACACACAUACCACACACACACCAGACACACACACACUACACACAACACACACACCCCAGACACACAAAGACACACUACACAGACACACAACACACACCCCCCCACACCACACAACACACAUACCACACACACACCAGACACACUACACACAACACACACACCCCAAACACACACAGACACACUACACACACACCCCACACCACACAACACACACACCACGCAUACCACAUCACAUGCACACACUCUACACACACCCCCACACAAUACACAUGCACAACACACACACCCCCACCACACACACACAUACACCACACAUACCACAUCACCCACACACACCACACAUACCACACACACCCCAGACACACACAGACACAAUACACAUGCACAACACACACACCCCACACCACACACACACAUACACCACACAUAGACACACCACACAGACAGAUACCACACACACCACACCACAUCACACAACACAACACACACACCACACAUACCACACUGCAUACAUAUAUACCCCCCCAAACACACCACACACACAGGCACACAUAGACACACCACACAGACACACACAACACUCAGACACUGCACACACACCAUACCACACGACACAAUACAAUACACACCACACGCACCGCACCACACACACCCCACAGCCUCCCUCUCUCUCCCCCACCCCACCGGGUGUCAUCCCGCUUGAAUGAGAGGAGCCUCUAAGGCUUCCCCGGAAAAGAAGGGACUGGAAAACACGGAGGCCACGCUCCCCCAGGGAGACCAGCGCCAUGAGGACAACUUUUUGGAGCUCUCGGUGUCUCCCAAGAACUUCCAGAACGUUCCCUAAUGGAGUCGCCCCUGCGGUGAGGCCGCUGUAAAGCGUCGUGGCUGGUGGUACAGAAGGAGGAAGAGAGGGGACAGCUCGCCGAGGCACAGGGCAAAUCCGAGAUGGACAGCACCCCUGGCUCAGACCCGGGGUGGACCCGCCGACGCCCCCGUGUCUCUGGGGGAAGGAGGUCAAAUGAGGUCAGAAGGCGGGGCCCAGCUCUCCAGGUGCCAAAGGGUUAAGGAAGGAGGGCAAGAGAGUGGCUGGCGGUUGGUGUGGUGAAGUAACCUCUAGAUGACAUCCUGCCCUCACGUGGGCACAGGCUGCUGGCUGCUUGCCUGUCACCAGGAGAGCCCAGUUGAACGGGUAGGCAGCUGGGGGUGGGGGGCCGCCUCUGCCCUCUUCUCCCUGUGCUGGCCAAGGGAGGCCUCCGGGAGGCUCCUGGGCUCGGUUCCUUCCUUUCUAGUCCACAGGACGGAUUCAUCGUUAGGGUAUCAGCACACCUCACUCCCAGGAGAGCGCUCCCGGCGCGCCACACUGUGUCUGAGGGCAUGGUGGCAGGCUGUCGGCGCUCACCGGUGGGCGUUGUUAUCGUGCUAGUGGGGCGGAAGAGAGAAAACUCGUCUCGAGUGAAAGAACCUUGAAGACCUGUAUUUCCACAUGGGGGGUUUCCUAUGAGGCUGAGCCUGGGGAGACUCUCUCCCCCAUCAAACCCCCAUUUAGAAGCAGCCACCCUUCGUCUCUCCAAAGGAAUCAUGUGCAGCGGGACCUGACUUCAGAAGGCCCGGCCUUGGGAGGGAGAGACGUCUUCAGUUCAUUGUCUCGCCAUGGAAAAGAUCAUUACUUCGCGGAGGUGGCUUCCUCUGACCCCAUCCCUCCUCUAGGAAGAAGUUAAAAGAGGAGCUGUCCCCUGAAAGCCGAGGGCCACACACACUGAACUGGCCUCUUUAUGCAUGGCCUGGGCCAGCUGCUCGUCUUGGUGUCAGUGACUACUUCAGCACAUAAUACGAAGCACAGAGAAAUACUCGCCCCCCCUUUUUGAAAGGCAUUAAAGAGAAGAUAUGUCUGAAGCCAAAAAGAGACACAGAAACAGAAGAAACGAGACACAUUCUAUAGAACAACUUCAGAAGACGGGAUCAGGAUGACCUGGGGGUUUGUUCCGAGCCCUUCGUUGGAAAUUUUAUUCAUUUUCACUUUGUUUAAACUGGGCUUUUUAACUAAAGCCAUUGUCUAAACGCCGCUGUGGACAUUUUCGGUACUAGGCAUGAACUCAGGGCAGAUGUGUCAUCUCAAGGACACAGUUUAACCAGGUGAAUUGUAUUUGGGCUGAAGUGACUUGAAAUUCCAGGUUGGAUGACUUAGAUGGACCCUUAAUGGGCACAAUGUGAAUGCACAUCUGUACAACCAGGUUGAUUUGUGUAUUCUUGUUAGAAGGUGUGUGUUGCGUGUUCCUAAUCAGUGGGACCUGAGUAUAGUAUCAAGAGUUCAAAUUCAACUUUACCAUUUACUCGCUGAAUGACCUCAGGCUAAUUAGCCCCUUCUAGACUUGGUGUCCCCAUCUCUAAAGAAAUGGUAGUCCGAAUACUGCCUUCGUAGGCUGUUGUAAGAGUGAAAUGAGAUGUUGCCUGCAGAGGCUGGCUCCGAGUAAGCAUUUCUCUUUGCCCCUGGAGGUUUUUUUCCAUAAUAAAUUUUAUGCACCUUGGAAAAAUCAAAUGAUGACGAAUUCAUUCUGAAGUUUGUAUGGGGAGGCGAAAGACCCAGAAUAGCCAAGGCAAUACAGAAGGAGAAGAGCAAAGUUGGAGGACGGACCCUACCUGACUUCAAGACUCACUAUAAAGAUACAGCAAUCAAGACAGUGUGGUAUUAGCAAAAGAAAAGACAAAUAGACUAAUGGAACAGAACAGAGAGCCCAGAAAUAUAAUCCACUGAUGUUUGACAAAGGAGCAAAGGCAAUACAAUGGAGCAAAGAUGGUCUUCUCAACAAACGGUUCUGGAACAACUGGACAUCCACAUGCAAAACAUGAAGCUAGACACAGACCUUAUACUCUUCACAAAAAUUAACUCGAAAUGGAUCAUGGACUUAAAGCUAAGACACAAAACUAGGAAACUCCUAGAAGAUAACAUAGGAGAAAAUCUGAUGACCUUGGUAUGGUGGUGCCUUUUUAGAUACAACACCAAAGCAUGAUCCCUGAAAGAAAUAAUUGAUUUUUAAAAACCUUCUGUUAUGUGAAGGAUAAUAUUAAGAGAAUGAGAAGACCAGCCAAAACUGGGAGAAAAUAUUUGCAAAAGACACAUCUGAUAAAGGACUGUUAUCCAAAAUACACAAAGACCUCAAAAAACUCAACAAUAAGAAGACAGACAACCCAAUUAAAAAAUUGAGGGGCCAGCCAGGUGGCUCAGUGGUUGGGUUUGCGCACUCCGCUUUGGUGGCCUGGUAUUGGGGGAUUUACAUCCUGGGCAUGGACCUAUACUCCUUUCAUCGAGCCAUGCUAUGGUGGCAUCCCACAUGCAAAAAGUAGAGGGAGAUUAGCACAGAUGUUUGCUCAGCGACAAUCUUCCUCAAGCAAAAAGAGGAGGAUUGGCACUAGAUGUUAGCUCAGGGCCAGUCUUCCUCACCAAAAAAAAAUUGGCCAAACACCUUAAUAGACAAGUCAUCAAAGAAGAUAUAUGGACAGCAAAUAAGCAUAUGAAAACAUGCUCCACAUCCUAUGUCAUCAGGGAAAUGCAAAAGAAGGCAAUGAGAUACCAGUGCACACCUAUUAGAAUGGCCAAAAUCUGGAACACCAAAUGUUGGUGAGGAUGAGGAACAGUGACUCUCAUUCAUUGCUGGGAGGAAUGCAAAAUGGUGCAGCCACUUUGGAAGACAGUUGGGCAAUUUCUUACAAAAUUGAACAUACUCUUACCACACAAUCCAACCAUCGAGCUCCUUGGUAUUGACCCAAAGGGGUUGAAAACUUCUCCUCUCCACAGAAAAAUCUGCACAUAGAUGUUUCUAGCAGCUUUCUGCAUAAUUGCCACAAGUUGGAAGCAACCAAGAUGGCCUUCAGUAGGUGAUGGAAAAAGGCACUGUGGUCCAUCCAGACAAUGGAAUAUUAUUCAGUGCUGAAAAGAAAUGAGCUAUCAAGCCCUGAAAAGACAUGGAGGGACCUUAAAUGGAUAUUACCAAGUGAAAGAAGCCAGUCUGACAAGCCCUUCAUACUGUUUGAUUCCAACUAUAUAAUAUUCUGGAAAAGGCAAAACUACGGAGACAGCACAGAGCUCAGUGGUUGGCAGGGGUUGAGCGUGAGGGAGAGAUGAGCAGGCAGAACAGAGAGGCUGUUUAGGGCAGUGACAGUAGUCUGCAUGACAGUAUACUGAUGGAUAUAUAUCAUUAUACAUUUGUCCAAACCCAUAGAAUGCACCACGCCAAGAGUGACCCCUAACGUCAACUAUGGACUUUGGGUGAUUAUGUCAACAUAGGUCUAUCAGUUGUAACAAAUGUACCGCAAUGCUGAGGGAUGUUUAUAAUGGGGGCAGCUGUGCAUGUGUGGGGACAGGGGGUAGACGGGAAAUCUCUGGACCUUCUCCUCAAUUUUGCUGUAGAAUCUCAAUUAAAAAAAGUCAGGGCCCACCCAGUGGCGUAGUGGUUAAGUUCACGCAUUUUGCUUCAGCGGCCCUGGGUUCUCCAGUUCGGAUCCCGGGCAUGAGCCCAUGCGCUGCUUGUCAAGCCAUGCUGUGGCAGGCAUCCCAUAUGCAAAGUAGAGGAGGAUGGGCAUGGAUGUUAGCUCAGGGCCAGUCUUCCUCAGCAAAAAGAGGAGGAUUGGUGGCGGAUGUUAGCUCAGGGCUAAUCUUCCUCAAAAAAAAAAACCCUCAAAUGAUGAUUUGGUUAUUUUAUUCACUGGAGCUAAUCAAAGGGAUGCCUAUAAGGUUACUGAAAUUUGUGUUUUGGUUUCCUAGAUUUUUUUGUGAGAAAUAAGGAUUGAAGAAAGAAAAAAAGAGGGAAGAGGGAGGGAGGAAAGAACGAAGAAAGGAGGGAGGGACGGAGAGAGGAAUGGAAGGAGGGCGGGAGGGAGAGAAGGAGAUAGAUGAGCCUAUGUUAAGAAAACAAACUCGCCUCCUGAAAAUAGAGCUAACUCUUAUCUCGUCCUCGCCUAUUUAUCUCUAUAUAAAUCAGAGAAAGAAAAGGCCUUCCCGGCUUUUCCUUCCUCACCUGGGGUGCCUGCAGGCUCUCCCCUGGACAGGCAGGGGCCUGUCGCACCCAUUUAUGAAGACCUUCUUUUUCUUGAAACAGUACCUUGAAUAAAUACUCCUGGAAUUAGAAAUAUGUAAAAGCAUCUGAAAAGUAAACACACACACACACACGCACACAAUACAAAAGGAAAUGCGUUAUUCACAGUCAGACCUAGCGCAGUAAAUAUUUGAGGAAAGAAGGAAUUCUAGCCCCCAAUGCUAUCUUUGAAUAUAAUACAUUAUACUUUGCCGUAGGGUUGGCUGCAAACUAUAAUCCCAUUUAGUUUUGUCAUUGCACAGAUUAGAACUGCUAUUUCAUGUCACCUGUUUUAUAAGAUUCAGACUGCCUUUUGCAGAUCACUUGCAUCACAGCCAUCUGCUAAAAAGGAGCUCUCGGCCUACCCCGUGCUGGUUGUGUCAGCCUCUUUGGGUCGAGGGGCCCAAGAUAGACAUCGGGAAAAGCUUCCAUGUGGGCCCCCGGACCGCUGCUGGACCCUCAUCAGCACCAGGGAACAUGGUGAUGGAACGAACAAAUGAAUGAAUAAUGAAAGAAGAACCUGUCCGAUAACAGCUGUUGUUCGCGUAGAGUCAACGCUGGCUGUUUGAUAAGUGUGUGAAUGUGCCCGUCUUGCCCAGGACCCACAGCCCAACGGAACAUGAAGGCAAAACUGGCUGUUCGGGGCUUACCCAGUCAAGCUGCCUCUCUCCCAUACUCCUCCUCCCGGAUCCCCUCCCAUUUCUUUUAAUCUCUUCCAAUUUUAAAAAUAAGAAAUUAAAAUAUUGAAAGAUACAUCAUAGCCAAAUCAUUUCCAAAAGUGUCCUUGGCUGGUCGGGUGACCGUUUCAUUUAGACCCCUCGGCAAUUAACACCAAGGACAGAUGCCCCAACUGACAGAACCUUCCCGCAAACCUCAGUGCUUUCAAGACUUGAAUCCAGGUCCCCCACAGAAAAGGCUGAGACAAACAACAACAGAAAAAGAGAUUCUGGUUUUCCACCAAGCUCAAAGGGCCUUUGUCGGAGCAAGUCAGAGCUCUCCCGGUGGCCAGCUCGUUCUGUUUAAUCAUCAACUGUGCUUAUCAAAUCCUUGAUUUGGAAGUCCCCUGAAGAAAAAAAGUGCAAAAAGAAUCCUUUUGUGCUUUGGAGAUUGAUUUCAAAGCAGGCCUUGAGGUCACCUGCGGACACGCCUUAGGCGGAAAUUACCAGCAGGAAACAAAAUGUUCCCAUUUGAUUUCAUAAAGUUGGGCGGAACCCCUGGAUGGGGACUCACCAUUGGGAUCUGAGCAGGGCCGAAGCACUAGUCCACCCGUCCAUUUUCUUUGGGGGCAGAGGGGAUGGCAGUGAUGCAGGUGGGGGCCUGCUCUGACUCCCCUGGAAGUGCUCCCGCAUCCUGAUACCUGGGCAGAGGCUGGAGGAGACCUGUCAGGUCUACCCACUAGAAACCAAUGCUCACCUUGCUGUCUGAGACGCUGGAAAAGGGAGUCCCUUGAAUUGUCCGGGUUUUGCUUUCCUUGGCCAGGUCUUCCCCAUAAUUUAGAGAUUUGGGGUUUUAGGUGGCAUUUGACUCAAUCAAGGUGAUCAGCCGUCAGGGGAACCUGAUAAAGCUGAGGGUCAGUUCCCAGAUCCACGGUUCCAGUUCCAAUAUCCUCUCCUGGGGAGAGCAAGCGAGAAGACCUUCAGGAGCAGGAUGACAAGAAGCACAGCAAACAGUUGAUGUUAUUAUCAGUGAAGCCCACAGUGAGUCGGGUCGAUGUCCCGGGACCCUGAAGCCAGCCGUGGAUGGCGUCUGAUUGAAAAACCCAACAACCCAGCAAGGAAAGCAUAAAGCCAAGAACAAAUGAAGUCACUCAAAAAGGCCAGAGGAAGGUUCUGUCACAACACACAGUAAAACUUCUUCCUACCUUCUUUCUCCAUCUUUCUCUCUGUAUCCCACAUUUCAGUUCUUUGAGACUUUCUCUCUCUCUCUCUCUCUCUCUCUCUCUCUCUCUCUCCUCCGCAAACAAACGCAGCCACCCUCUCCCAGGACACUCUCCUUGUUUUCCCUGUGCCUUUUUUGUGCAACAGUGGUUCCCAAAGCUUUCUGUUGAAAACCCCACCAUUUUCUCCCUUUCCAAGACCCCGUCUCUUUUCUCGCACCUAAACCAAAAGAUCAAGAUCAAGCUGGCAUUACAGAAUGGGGGGCCCUUGGGCGUGGGUCGGGAAAGAGAGGCUGCGAUUAUUGGUGGAUUUAAUAUGUGGUGCCUGAAGCACGAUUGAGACAUUGUUGAUUCUCUACCGUGCGUUGGACACCAUAUUAAAUUACUGCAUUUAACAGAUGUCUAAAUUGGGGUUUUCUUCAGUGUAUUCUGACUCUAUUCCAGGGAAAUAUUCCUUGAUAAGAGGGUUUGAUAAUUAGCCACAUUUGGAAAGUGUGUCGUCCCCUAUCUGUCCCCUGGAGGUUCCCAAUGCACAUUAAAUUUCUGAUAAUUCUUGCGGUAAAUAUGCAUAUUUAUCAUCGGUGAACCUGGCAUUUCCCUAACUUAUUUGAUCACUGAACUAACUUGAUCAUAAGAAGGAGUUAAUGUCAGCAGCACACCUGGCCCACCCAGACCUAGAAAAUGGGAGUCGCCAAAGCACACCUGUUCCGUGUUGGUAGGUUCUGGAGAGCCUGGUGGGCAUCCACCCUGAUUCACUGGGGUAUUUAUGGUGGUGUACACAUGGGCUUGAUUAGUCUUGACAGAGAGGUUUGUCCCCAAGACAUAGGGGAUGAUGAGCCAAUAAAUAAGAGAUGAGCCAAUAAAACAAUCUAGUGAUGACUUUAAAACAAGAGAGGAGCUGGUGAUGAACCCAGCAGUCCUGGUGGGAGAAAGCGCCCUGUGAAUGAGAUGGGGAAGGCCAAGAGGCGUGGAUGCCUCAGAGACCAGGAAGUCAGAUCCUAGCCCAGCAGCUCACGCUGGCCCACACAGUGGCAGAAAUGAUGUAAUUCUGCAGCAAGCCACGGAAGCCCUAAAUUCAAGCUUGCUCUAGACGUCGGCUGAUAACUAGAAACAGAAAAAUCAGUAAAUCAACUUGGUGCUACUGGAUGGCAUUUAUUUUCGAAAAUGGUUAUGGUUCUUCAAAAACCCCCAGAUCGCUUUGUUUCCUCUCUCACACUCCGCUUCUCUACCAACCGCCCCCACAGCAUCAUGGUCUCUUAACCGAAUUGAGACCUAGCAUGAUCCAUGAGCCCCGGGAAAGGAUUGGCAAGCCUGUCCCGCCUGAGCAGGGGCGUCCCCCCAGCCCAGAGCCAGCCCCCGACUUCUGGCAUCAGGGCUGCUGUUUUGAAGGGCUGCUUUGAGAUCUGUGGCUCCAGGCAUUUUGUUAUUUUGCUGUUUACUUUGGAACUUCUUAAAACAAACCUCAAAGAAGAGAGAACUCCUGUCUGAAGCUGAUUCCUUUUAGAAUCCAAGAGAUGACUCACGGAGGCUGUUUUGGCAUUUAUGUACCCUGUUGAGUUAAUAUGAUUAGACUCAUAAAUUCUAUUUUUGAAACGUAGACUUUGUACCCUGAAUAUUCUUCCAGAACAACAAAAAAAAGCGGGGGGAAAUGACAUCCUUGUUUACAUAUUUGGUAUUAUCUAAAUAUGUGCUAUUUGCCCUCUUACUUUUGUCUUUCAUCGUCUGUUUUUUUCCGUUGGAUUAAAAAGACGGGGCAAAUUCUUCAGUAAACUUGAGGAAUGCUCUUUAGAAUAAGUCUUGUCCAUGUACAAGCUAAUAAUAUGAAAAGUUCUGUUUUCACCAAAUGUCCAUUGACAGAUGAAUGGAUAAGCAAAAUGCAUAGACACUCAAUGCAAUAUUCUUUAGCCUUAAAAAGGAGUGAAAUUCUGACAUUUUGCUACAUGGAUGAAUCUUGAAGACAUUAUUUUAAGUGAAAUAAGCCAGUCACAAAAGCACAAAUACAGCAUGACUCCACUUUAUGAGGUCCCUAUAGAGCGGUCAGAUGCAUAGAGACAGAAAGUGGAAUGGUGGUUCCUAGGGGCUGAAGGCAGGGGAGAAUGGGGAGUCAUUUAAUGGGUACCAAGUCUGAAUUUGGGAAGAUGAAAAUUUUUUGGAGAUGGAUGUGGUCUGAUUGUACAACAGUAUAAUGUACUUAAUGCCAUUGAACUCUACACUUGAAAAUGAUUAAAAUGGUAAAUUUUAUGUUAUGUGUGUUUUAACACACACACACACCAAGUUCCGUUUUCUCUGGGAACACACAUGGAGCAAUACCCAGAGCCUGAGGCUUCCCCCUGAUUGUUUUUGAUCUUACCAACCCACUACUCCAUAAGUAACCAAGUUACUUGUUCUUCAAAGUGAAUGCAUGGCCAGAGCUAAGUCCCCCUUCAUCGCAGAAGUGGCACCUUCCAACCGAGGGAGGUGGUUUUCUCACACUACGCGAUGGAUGGUCUGGGCAGGGGCCGGGUGCAGCCUUCCUUCCUGGGAAAAACGUCUCAACUGUAGAAAUUUGAUGGCUCCUGAGAUUUGUUUCAAGUCACUGUAGUUGGUACAUAAGUUAAGGCGCCUGCCCCUUUGUUCUUGUGUAAUAAAUGGUCGACUCCGGAAUGUUCAAAGACACAGGGCCCUCCACUUGGCCAUAAAACGCACCCUAAUCUAAAGACCGCUCUGUUUCAUUUUUAACUGUGCGGCAAAUCCAAGUUUUAAGUGUUUUGUUUGUUAGAUAAUUUUCGAUAACUCCUAUAAAGCAAGGUUGCUCAUAAUAAAAGACUUCAUGUGUGCCCAUUAAGAACAAUGAAUUGCACUAACCACAAACCUCAAAAGAAGUAUUCUGUUGUUUGAGGUUUAAAUGAAAAAAGAAAGAUCUUUUUUCUUGCCACUAGAAUAAAGGUCUUUUGAGAACUUCAUUUUUGAAAAUCUCGGGCAUGACCACAGAAGUAAUAAAUGCCCAGAUCAUAUGUAUUUUCAUGCUUUU